UAGCUUAGUUGGUAGUGCGUCUGCCUUUUAAGCGCUAGGCUGCGGGUUCGAUUCCCGC
Molecule: transfer RNA, 58 nt
Filed under: Diaphorina citri (Asian citrus psyllid)
Lineage: Eukaryota; Metazoa; Arthropoda; Insecta; Hemiptera; Psyllidae
Rfam family: tRNA
About the family: Transfer RNA (tRNA) molecules are approximately 80 nucleotides in length. Their secondary structure includes four short double-helical elements and three loops (D, anti-codon, and T loops). Further hydrogen bonds mediate the characteristic L-shaped molecular structure. tRNAs have two regions of fundamental functional importance: the anti-codon, which is responsible for specific mRNA codon recognition, and the 3' end, to which the tRNAs corresponding amino acid is attached (by aminoacyl-tRNA synthetases). tRNAs cope with the degeneracy of the genetic code in two manners: having more than one tRNA (with a specific anti-codon) for a particular amino acid; and 'wobble' base-pairing, i.e. permitting non-standard base-pairing at the 3rd anti-codon position.
Source: Rfam by way of RNAcentral